Long non-coding RNA from Dreissena polymorpha, 1377 nucleotides. RefSeq lists it as uncharacterized. The transcript is spliced from 4 exons. The record is from RefSeq and is a predicted model, not a curated record. Lineage: Eukaryota; Metazoa; Mollusca; Bivalvia; Myida; Dreissenidae.
UGGCGGAAUCUGUAUUGUCAAACACGGAAGAAGAAGGAUACAACCAUAAUUAAACCAAGAAGUUUAUGAAGAAGGGAUCACUGGAUUUUGUCACUUUGGUACAAGAAACAGAAAAGCAUAGGAGCUGUUGAAGGAAAUUGCUGCCAGACAGUCAGCAGUUAUCACUGACAGCCUGUCCUGGCCCAGCUUGGACCAUCCUCAAGCUAACCAUGAUGGUGUGUUUGCAAGAAUUGUCCAUUUGGUAGACCAUGAUGAAGACCAGCUUUGUUGUGGCAUGGCCUGACAAUGCUGUACAAGCCAGAGACCAAAAAAGGGUUAAGUGGUGACUGAUCCUCUCACCCUCCUUAUCCAGGAAACAUUUCGGAACAACGUGUUGGCACUGAAGAUGUGGAGGACACAGAUUGAUCACAGUACAUCCUUUGGAUACAUGGACACCUUCAACGUGACGACAACAAAACUGUACCUGCCUUUUUUUUUGAAAGGAAGUAGUUCAUAAAAUUAUUGUUAACAGCUUUUUUAGUCUUGUUGUUUAAGAAUGCUUGCAACAUUUAAGUGGAUAAACGGUUGUUUUAAAUUUGAAUCUUCAGUAAUGCAUUCUUUAUUAAAUGAUGUAAUCUUAUUUCUUUCAAUAUAGUGUAAAUAAUAAAGAACAUAAUUAUCCUUUGUAUACAAAAUGAAAACCAAGUUUACUGUCCUAUUAAUAAUUAUUUAUUUAUCUUGUUCUUUUGUCAGAAAUACUACAGGGGCAUACAUACAGUAUUCCUUAAAUGAAAGGGGCAGUUCUUAGAAAAUUAACAUGUAUUUUAGCAAUUCAUAUUCAAACUUUUUCCACAUUUAUAACCAGCAACAAUAUGUAAGUAGUAUAAUGUAACACAAAUUAAUACUAUGAAUUUACUACUGAUUUUGCCGUGCCUGUCAUCAAACAUGUUUGACUGAAAGUUUCUUAAAAGAUGCAUGUACUUAAGGUUGUUCAAGAUUAGGCUGUGCAGACUGCACAGGCUAAUCAGGGGCAACACUUUCCGCCUUAUCUGGAUUUUCUCUAAGAGACUCCAUUUCAACAAAAAAUACAAUAAAGCAGCAAUUGUCUGCCUGAUUGGUAUGAUCAGCACAUGUUUAUCUCGUACGACAAUUUACGCACAUGCAUUAAGCCCCAUUUUCCCAGGGCAAGGCUCACCUAUUUAGGUUUUAGCUGUCUAUAUGCUCCUUAACUUUUGAAUCAUGAUGCAGUUUCAUAUAAUAAUGUAUUAUGAGUUGUUUUUAAUUGAUGCAUAUUCUUUUGUUCAGUGUUGAACUCAACAUGUAUUAUAGUAAGGUGUUCACUUAACAUUCUUGCAGUAAUGUUUUGCUGUGUAAUAUACAUGUAAUAAUAAAUCAAAA